AGCAUCGAAUUCAACAGAAAAACGUUACAAUAGAGCAAACUCUUUAAACUGUCCAUAUGUUUACAAAAGAGAUGGUGUGGACCAUUUUACUAAAACGUGUCAACAUUAACACUAUAGGGUCAGAUGGAGUUUUUGCCAGCUGAGAAAGUUUAGUUCCUUGUUCCAUGUAGCUGCGAAUUGCAUUCUUGCGCCAUCUACAAUUGUAGAUUUCCAAAAAAUAUUUACAUUACAUUAAACGUUUUUUGAGGAGCGGGAUUUAAAAGACCAACAGAUUAACUACAAGAAACUUAAUUGACUCCAAAAUCAUCUAGUCGCCGUUUCACUAAGGACAACUUUUGCAUUUUAUUUUUUUUGGAGCAAAUAAAUAUUUUGUAACCUA
This is a long non-coding RNA of Dendroctonus ponderosae (mountain pine beetle), 379 nucleotides long. RefSeq lists it as uncharacterized. The record is from RefSeq and is a predicted model, not a curated record. Lineage: Eukaryota; Metazoa; Arthropoda; Insecta; Coleoptera; Curculionidae. The transcript has 2 exons.